Delphinapterus leucas (beluga whale) is the source of this 687-nucleotide non-coding RNA. NCBI's taxonomy places the organism in Eukaryota, Metazoa, Chordata, Mammalia, Artiodactyla, Monodontidae. The record is from RefSeq and is a predicted model, not a curated record.
AUGUGGCUGAGGGGGAGAGUAAUAAGACGUGUGGCUGGAGAGGAAGGCCGGAGCCGUAUCAUGCAGAGCCUCGCGCACUGUGCCCAAGUUCCAGGAGCUUGCCUGAUCCACUCAAUUCCCUCCCUCAUUGGAGGCAUCUCUGAAGCUCAGAAGGAAACUGCUCUUCACCUGGUCUUCGGUGAGGGUCAUUCACCUCCAGGCUUCAUGGAAAUCACCUCACAGGACCCCAGGCACUCGGAGCAAGUCCCCACGACUGUCCACAACCUGUACCUGUUUGACCGGAAUGGAGUGUGUCUGCAUUAUUGCGAGUGGCACCGCAAGAAGCAAGCAGAGAUCCCCAAGUAGGAGGAGUACAAGCUGAUGUACGGGAUGCUCUUCUCUAUCCUUUCCUUUGUCAGCAAAAUGUCCCCACUACACAUUAAGGACGGCUUCCUGGCCUUCCAAACUAGGCGUUACAAACUCCAUUAGUACGAGAUGCCUGCUGGGAUCAGCGCUGUCAUGAAUACUGACUUGGGCGUGGGACCCAUCUGAGAUGUGCUGCACCACAUCCACGGUGAGCUGUACGUGGAGCUGGUGGUGAAGAAUCCCCUGUGCUCGCUGGGCCAAACUGUGCAGAAUGAGCUCUUCCGCUCCCGACUGGACUCCUGUGGCCACUCUCCGCCCUUCUUCUCCGCCCGGGCUGGCUGA